GUCGAGAAUCUUUCACAAUGGGGGCAACCCUGAUGGAGCGACGCCGCGUGGAGGAUAAGGUCUUCGGAUUGUAAACUCCUGUCAUGCGUGAACAAGGUUGCUUGGUUAAUACCUGGGCAAAUUGCUGGUAACGCAAGAGGAAGAGACGGCUAACUCUGUGCCAGCAGCCGCGGUAAUACAGAGGUCUCAAGCGUUGUUCGGAAUCACUGGGCGUAAAGGGUGCGUAGGUGGCGUGGUAAGUCAGAUGUGAAAGCCCGGGGCUCAACCUCGGAACUGCAUCCGAUACUGCCAUGCUAGAGUACUGGAGAGGUGACUAGAAUUCUCGGUGUAGCAGUGAAAUGCGUAGAUAUCGAGAGGAAUACCAAAGGCGUAGGCAGGUCACUGGACAGUUACUGACACUGAGGCACGAAGGCCAGGGGAGCGAACGGGAUUAGAAACCCCAGUAGUCC
RNAcentral lists this ribosomal RNA (449 nucleotides) under uncultured bacterium. RNAcentral describes it as "partial 16S ribosomal RNA". It matches the Rfam family "Bacterial small subunit ribosomal RNA", at positions 354 to 796 of the family's 1533-position model. The record is from RNAcentral.